AAAAAAAAACAUUCCGCCCUUUUGUUAUUCGCCUUCAUAUUUGGAUACGCAAUCCUAAUAUUCUUUGACGACGAUAGGUAAGCCGGCAAGUUGAAGAAGAAGGAAAAAUAAAAAAAAAAAAAAAAAAAAAAAAAAAGAAAAAGAAAAAGACCAAAAAAGAAGAGAGAGAGAGAGAGAAAUAAAAUCCGAGACUUUAGUCGAUGACUAUAAGGUGUUAAUUAAGCGGGCAGAGAAGAAGCAACUUGCUUAAUUCUAGAAGUUGAAUGGUAAAAAGCCCACCCCCGACCAAUCCCCAGCUUGCCUCUAUCAACGGCUUCAGCGCACCACCUCCACCUCCACAUCCACCUCCAUCACCUCCACCUCCACCUCCUCCUUCUCCUCUUUCUCCUCCUUCUAUACAAGCUCACCUCUCAACACCAGUGUGAAACUGAAUACGAGCGAGCAUAACGCUGAAAAAGCUGCUCAAAGAACACUCGACAUUUAGCAAAAUCGAAUAAAGCGUGCGAAAGCAAAAUAGAAGUUGAGGUGGUAGUAAUAUUUCAUUCGGAAGUAUGGAAAGGGAUUAAAGUCUCUUUUUCAUGAUGUCUUAUAGCAAAAAUAAGGAAAGAAAAGAAGAAAGAAAAGAAAAAGGGAAAAUAGAAAAAAGAAAAAGAAAGAGGGAGAAAGGAAGGAAGAAGGAUAGAAAAAAGGAAAAAAGUAAAGGAACGAAAGAAGGAAAAAUACUUUUGCCCUUUUUUAAGAAGUUGACAGAUUGUAUUCGCAUUUAAUGGACGAUCCGGCGUACCAUUAGACAGAUCUUUAAUAUUUAAUAAAACAUGAUAGAUAUGACGAAAUUAUUUAUAUACUUAUAUACUUACUUACUUACUUACUUAUUUACUUUGUCGAAAAUAAACAUGGGCGCCGUAAAGGAAAAAUUGCUCGGUAAGUAGGUAAGUAAGUAAGUAAGUAAGCGUGGAUAAAGAACGAUUUAUCAUUCAAAUAUUUACACCGAUAAGAAGAUUCAACUAAGUAUCUACGUAUUAUUUCUUUAAAUUUAUCUCAAAAGUAGUAAAUUUUAAUUUCUUAAGAUAAAAUAAAAAUCGAGAUAUUAUUC
This is a long non-coding RNA of Vespa velutina, 1093 nucleotides long. RefSeq lists it as uncharacterized. NCBI's taxonomy places the organism in Eukaryota, Metazoa, Arthropoda, Insecta, Hymenoptera, Vespidae. The transcript is spliced from 2 exons. The record is from RefSeq and is a predicted model, not a curated record.